This 500-nucleotide ribosomal RNA is filed under the name uncultured Glomeromycotina. RNAcentral describes it as "partial small subunit ribosomal RNA". It matches the Rfam family "Eukaryotic small subunit ribosomal RNA", at positions 591 to 1092 of the family's 1831-position model. Lineage: Eukaryota; Fungi; Glomeromycota. The record is from RNAcentral.
CCAAUAGCGUAUAUUAAAGUUGUUGCAGUUAAAAAGCUCGUAGUUGAAUUUCGGGGUCAGCAGGUUGGUCGUGCCUCUGGUACGCACUGGUUUCGCUGAUUCCUCCUUUCUGGAGAACUGUAAUGUCAUUAAUUUGGUGUUUCAGGGAAACAGGACGGUUACUUUGAAAAAAUUAGAGUGUUUAAAGCAAGCUAAUGCUUGAAUACAUUAGCAUGGAAUAAUGAAAUAGGACUUUUGAUCCUAUUUUGUUGGUUUCUAGGAUUGACGUAAUGAUUAAUAGGGAUAGUUGGGGGCAUUAGUAUUCAAUUGUCAGAGGUGAAAUUCUUGGAUUUAUUGAAGACUAACUACUGCGAAAGCAUUUGCCAAGGAUGUUUUCAUUAAUCAAGAACGAAAGUUAGGGGAUCGAAGACGAUCAGAUACCGUCGUAGUCUUAACCAUAAACUAUGCCGACUAGGGAUCGGAUGAUGUUAAUUUUUUAAUGACUCAUUCGGCGCCUUACG